This 992-nucleotide long non-coding RNA is filed under the name Pan troglodytes (chimpanzee). RNAcentral describes it as "long non-coding RNA NONPTRT017961". Lineage: Eukaryota; Metazoa; Chordata; Mammalia; Primates; Hominidae. The record is from RNAcentral.
CUUGUAUUGUGCAAAUCAAAAAAUUCUUAAUAAAUGUUGUUGAAAUUCUCUACACCACCAUGAUUUUUUAAUUUCCAUUAUCAUCAUGCAAAGCCAGUGAAUUAAGUUGAGGCGGAACAUACCUGCUUCAUAGUUAACACUUUCAAAAAGGAAAGUUUUGAAAACUGAACCCAGAGUGCUCCCCUUGGAGCUCUUGGGAAGUUUUGGUGCUUGGGCCACAGGCUGCUCACUGACAAUGCCCCUGAAUAUGGCCACCAAGCUCAACAAAUCACACAUUUUAAUGCCCCUGUGUUACCAAUGACAGGCAGUGAGUUUUGAGACUCCCACCCCCCGAUAAGCAGUCUCUGCUUAGGAGGCAGGGGAAGGAGGGGCUGAGGUGGGGCCUUUUCUCUUGGAAUGAUGACUUAGGGCAAGGGGAACAAAAGAGAACUAACGUCGACUCCCUUUACUGUUUGCCAGCCAUAGUGUGAGGUGCUUGGCAUUCAUUGUCUGUUUCAUGCUCGUGACAAUUCUAUAGGGAAGUAGCCUACUCAUUUCAUGGAUGCGGCUGAGGUUCCCACAUGUUACAGCAACAUCUCCGUUAGCCACGGAACCAAGAUUUCGGUCAAAGGGUAUUUAACCCCCAGCCUAUGCCCUUUCCUCUCCAGUAUGCUGCCUUCCAACUUGAGUUCUGGUUCCAGCUCUGUUCCUAAAGAUGGAAUCUAAGCUUUUCAGAUGAAGACCUGUGUCCCUGUGGGCUCCGUGGCUCCCAUUGCCUCUCGCUUACUGCUUAGUACAGAAAGCCUGCUUGCGUUGGGUUCGUGCUGGCAUACAAACUUCUUUGGGGUAACUGAGUGGCUGUGCGCUGGGACGGAGCUGAACUCCUCAAGCGAGGAGUCUCUUUUUAAAAUGCCCAUACAUCGUUCAGUGGUUACGAGACUUGGAAGGACCUAACUUUGAAUUGACUGAAGCACUCCUGGCAGUGUUUCUUACGCUCCCUGACAUGGAGUUUC